Molecule: non-coding RNA, 23 nt
Filed under: Arabidopsis thaliana (thale cress)
Lineage: Eukaryota; Viridiplantae; Streptophyta; Magnoliopsida; Brassicales; Brassicaceae
Source: RNAcentral
AGAUCAGACAUCCAUUUGAACGU